Myotis lucifugus (little brown bat) is the source of this 1002-nucleotide long non-coding RNA. RefSeq lists it as uncharacterized. The record is from RefSeq and is a predicted model, not a curated record. The transcript has 2 exons. NCBI's taxonomy places the organism in Eukaryota, Metazoa, Chordata, Mammalia, Chiroptera, Vespertilionidae.
ACCCCUCCCCCCACUGGGGAUCGAGCCCACAAGCAGGGCAUGUGCCCUGAUUGGCAAUCGAACUAGGGACCUUUUAGUUUGCAGGCCGUCGCUCUACCCACUGAGCGACAGCAGUCAGGGUUACAGUGUGUUCUUGAGCAAUAUUUAUUUUUCCUAUUUCUGAAAGGAAGAGAGAAGCAUGAAUAAUGAGUGAUGAUCGUCGAUUGGCUGCGUUCCUUGUGCAAGAAGAAAGAGUGACAUGUGUUGUCAUGUGCUAAGCGGAAGGAAUAGGCCCUGGCCAGUGUUGUUCGGCGGUUAGACGUUCGGAUGGCCAGGGAAGGGUCGCUGGCAGGAUUCCUGGUCCAGAGCACAUACCUGGGAUGCAUGUUUCAUCGUCUGCCCCGGUCUGGGCUCCUGUGGGAGCCAAAGAUGCAUGUGUCUGUUGUAUACUCAUGUUUGCUUGUUUUUUUUUCUCUCUCUCCUCCCGCUCCCUCCCUUCCACGCUCUCUAAGAAAAUGAAUGGUGAAAACAUCUCCUCUGUAAAGAAUUAAGCAAAACACACAGACGAAAAAAGUACAAAGAAGGAAAAGAGUUGGAGGGUGUGAAAAAGCACCAUAUGCACCAAGAAAGGCACCAUGAUGAGCAGAGCAUUCAACUCCGCUGAUGUUUUUCCACGCGAUGCUGCAGCAGGCUCUCCACAGACAAGCUUGUGACUCAUCCGAUCACACCGGAGACUGAGAGGAGGAGUCGAGAGACAGAGAGAAGGAGGGGAGUCGGAGAUUGCGGCGCAGAUUCCACACAUGUGCACUGUGGGCCCCGGACGAGAGUCGGCUGCUAAGCAACAGGCAGCGGCGGCAAAAACACCCGUCUGGCCGGAUAAAUGUUUUCGGCUGGCCGCAUGUGGCCCGUGGGCCGUCGUUUGAGGACCCCUGUUUUAAUGUAUAACUUAGCUCACAUGAUGUCCUAGGCAUGCCUGUUCAUCAUUGUCACUUGCUGAACUCCCAAUAAAAGCCAUGAGAAUUU